RNAcentral lists this ribosomal RNA (468 nucleotides) under uncultured bacterium. RNAcentral describes it as "partial 16S ribosomal RNA". It matches the Rfam family "Bacterial small subunit ribosomal RNA", at positions 28 to 507 of the family's 1533-position model. The record is from RNAcentral.
GACGAACGCUGGCGGCGUGCUUAACACAUGCAAGUCGAACGGAAAGGCCCUGCUUUUGUGGGGUGCUCGAGUGGCGAACGGGUGAGUAACACGUGAGUAACCUGCCCUUGACUUUGGGAUAACUUCAGGAAACUGGGGCUAAUACCGGAUAGGAGCUCCUGCUGCAUGGUGGGGGUUGGAAAGUUUCGGCGGUUGGGGAUGGACUCGCGGCUUAUCAGCUUGUUGGUGGGGUAGUGGCUUACCAAGGCUUUGACGGGUAGCCGGCCUGAGAGGGUGACCGGACAGCAGGGGACUAUGCUACGCCCGAGACUGCUACGGGAGGCAGCAGUGGGGAAUACGGCACAACGGGCCGACGCCUGAUGCAGCACCGCAGCGUUGGCGAUGCCGGCGUGAGGGUAGUAAAACGCGUUCGCCGGUGACGAAGCGUGAGUGACGGUACGGGAUAAAGAAGCACGGGCUAACUACGUG